GCCCACGCUAGCUGGGCUAAAGGAGGGGUAAUAAUUCCGCUCCUCUCAGCAGUAAUGGUGACUUGGCUGCGCUUGAUGGGAGCUCAAUGUUGUGUUGUGGCCAUCAAACACGACUUCUGAGCAAUUUCCGAAGAAGAGAUUUGUUUUUUGUUUAGAACUGCGGCGGCUCGGGUAACAAUCCCUGCCAGUGUAGUGGAUUUUUAUAGCUGAAUGCGCUGUGGAGACCUGUUGCUCGCCUGCCUCGCCGCCGCAUAGUCAACUAGCUACGUUAACGUUACUAUCCAAGAUGUUGCUUUGUGGAUGGGAUGGCCUCUGGUCCCGUUUGUGUGUGCACUUAUAGCCUCGUCGGAGUACGAACAUUUCCCUUUCAAGUGAUUGUGUAGCUCUUCUCCACUGGGAAGAUGCAUGUGUCUCUGGCAGAAGCCUUGGAGGUUCGAGGCGGUCCGCUCCAGGAAGAGGAGGUCUGGGCGGUGCUCAGUCAGAGUGCUGAGAGCCUCCAAGAACUCUUUCACAAAGACCCUACAGCCAUGGGCUUCAUCAUUUCUCCUUGGUCCCUCCUACUCAUGCCCUCCGGCAACAUCUCAUUCACAGACGAGUAUGUCACCCAGCAGGACUUAAGAGCCUUCACAGCUCCAGAGGUCCUGGAAGGGGUCUCCUUGACUUCCAUCUCUGAUAUAGAGAAGAUGCACAUGUACUCUCUGGGGAUGACUCUGUUCUGGGGAGCGGACUAUGAGAUCCCCCAAAGUCAGCCUAUGAAGUUGGGGGAACACCUAAACAGCCUGCUUCUCAACAUGUGUGAUGAUGUUACAUUGAGUCGAAUGUCGUUGCGCACGGUGCUGGACAUCUGCAGCAAACACAUUAGAAACUCCAGUUGUGACCCUCCCUUCUCCUAUAUCAGAAAACUGGUCCGGUUGGUACUGGGCAGCCUUUCCCAGCUGGACGGUCUGCUGACUGAUAGAGAGUCUCUUCCGGAGCGGAGUAAGGAGAUUCGGGAGAGGCUGCGGGGCAAGGGCUUGCCUUCAGGGAGGAGUGCCGCCCCCAGGGUUCUGGAGCGUUACAAAGCCAGGAGUCAGGAGCAGACGUCUCUUAACAGGGGCCUUAGUCGUUCCAUGGGAUCUCUGCCAAUCCAGGACCUGUUGAAGGGGGAUGAUGGGGCAGCCCUACAGUAUUCCCCAUCUGACUAUCGCCCUAACUCUGAAUCCCCUACAGAAUUAUACCCAAAUCCCCCAUCACUCAAGCACCAGCACUCCUAUCCCUAUCUGCAUCCUCUUCACCCCCAGCAAAAGGGCCGGCCUGUGGAACUGGACCGGAGGUCUUUAGCCUUCCACAGUGGUGACGUGGGUCCUAGUCAUGCAAGGAAGAACUGGGCUUCCUCUGUGGACUUGGCUUACAUUGACCCAGAGGCUCUUCGUUUUGGGGCUUUGGAGGAUGCGCGGAGGGGCAGCAGCGCCAUAAGUACCCACUCCAUAGGCAGGCGCAAAUCGCCCCUGCUGGCAUCCAGGGAGAGGGAGUCUCGCUUUUCUGAGUUUGGUGGGCUGAAGAGUAGGAAGCCUCAUCACCACUCAGCCCUGUUGGUAGGUUCGGGCCUCACCAGCGCGUAUGACAGGAUAAAGGAGAGGCAGAGGAAACUUCAGGUGCUAAGGCAAGCAGUGGAUGACCCAAUCCAUACCCACCAGAGGUACCCCAGCGAUUACAGUUCAUCCAGCGAAAGCCCCUCUGUGGCCUCCUCUGAUCCAGACUACAGACAAGCUAAGAAACCAGGCGAUGUGAGGAGGUAUAGCUCCCAGCUGGCACUUUCCUCUGAACAUGAUGCCCCCUCGCUGACAGGUCACAACACGCACAGGUAUAGGCUGUAUGAGGGGGCAGCUGAUGGAGGUCUGGUCGGAGCAGAGCUACUCCUGCAGAGGCAGGAGGAAGAGGUGCAGCGGCUCCAGGCCCACCUGGCCAGCAGGCUGUCCAGGGCCAACCUCUACCCCGCAGACGACCCCCUGGCCCUAUCUCGAACUUCCAUGCUCGACCUUCGAGACCCCCUUCACACCUCUUCUGUACCAUUUCGCAAACCCAAGAACUUCCACGGGCCUGAGUUUGUGAAGAUGGCGAGUGAGCCUUGUGUUGCCUUAUCUGUUCCCUCUUCAAUAAUGAAACGUGGUAAGUUGGAGGAAGUGCAAAGGAAGGUUGGUGUGGUGCUGCUGAGUGGCCAAAAGCUGGAGCUGAGCUGUGACAUCAAGGCAGUUUGUAAAGACGUUCUUGACAUGGUGGUUGCCCACAUCGGCCUUGUGGAGCACCAUCUCUUCAUCCUAGCAUACCUCAGAGAUAAUGAGUUUUUCUUCGUCGAUCCUGAUGCCAAACUGUCCAAAGUGGCCCCAGAGGGAUGGAAGGAGGAUCCCAAGAAGAAGAAAUCUGAUGUGCCUUUUAAUCUUUUCUUACGCAUCAAAUUCUUUCUUGAUGACGUCAACCUCAUACAGCAUGCAAUGACCAAACAUCAGUACUACUUACAGCUGAGGAAGGAUAUCUUGGAGGAGAGGAUGCGCUGUGACACAGAAAAUGCCAUGCUGUUGGCUUCACUGGCACUGCAGGCUGAAUUCAGUGACUACCAACCUGAGCUCCACGGGAAGACCUACUUCAGACUGGAGCACUACCUCCCGGUGUCUGUCCUGGAUAAGGUGGACCAGGCGACCAUCAAGGAGGAGCUGCCGAAACUUCACAGCAACUACUAUGGAGCAUCGGACUCUGAGGCGGAGUUUGAGUUUCUCAAGGUGAGCCAGAGGCUGACAGAGUAUGGUGUCCAUUUCCAUCGGGUGCUUCCUGAGAAGCGGUCCCAGACGGGCAUCAUGCUAGGUGUCUACUCCAAGGGGGUGCUCAUCUUUGAGGUGCUUAAUGGAAAUCGUACCCCGGUGCUAAGGUUCCCCUGGAGGGAGACGAAAAAGAUUUCCUUCAUAAAAAAGAAGAUUUGCCUCCAGAACACAUCCGAUGGGAUUAAGCACCUGUUUCAGACAGACAGCAACAAGACCUGUCAGUAUUUGCUACAGCUCUGCUCUGAUCAGCACAAGUUCCACCUGCAGACAAAGGCCCGCCAAAAUAACCAGGAGCUUCAAGAACUAGAGAACUGCCCCUUGAGCUGUUUGCAAUAUUCCCUUGACGCUCGGAGUGGAGGAGCAGCUGGGAGGACAUUGAGCUCAGGCAGCCUGGCCCCCAGCUUAUCGACGCGCUCCAACCCAGACCACCUGAAGAGGAUCUCCUACUCGGAGCUGGCCCUCCACAAGGCACCAUCUGGCCCAAUAUUGGUCCAAGAUGAGCUUCACUUUCCAGGUUUCAAUCCAGUGGCCUCCACGGCCCUUACCAAUCCGCGGGUAAUGAGCCGCUCCCACCACAACCUCGCACAGAUGCCAGAGUCUCCAGAGCACCGGGUGGCGGAGUCGUAUCGUGGCCAGUCGCACAGCGGACUGAGUCAGGUACAGCCCAACCAAGUGGCCCCACACUUCCAGCAACACCAGCGAGCCAGCUCAGACACAGAUUCCCUCUCACACCAACAGGACAAAUCUUUCGGCACAGUGUCCUACAGCAACUCGGCCUGGAAUCUCAGCAAGUCCAAAAAAGAAUCUGACUCUUCUUCCACAGAGGAUACUGGCCAAGCAUAUGUAGUAGGUGUCAGUAUGCACAGUUCCUCAGGACCACCUUCAACCCCAGCCUCUGUCAAUGAUUCACUCAAGAAAAAGCUAAUUGCCUUACCAUCUCCAGAGAGAGAAAUCACAACGGUAAACCUGAAGAAAGAUGUGAAAUAUGGCCUGGGGUUCCAGGUUGUUGGAGGGGAGAACUCUGGUCGUAUGGACCUUGGCACCAUCAUUAGCUCCAUCACUCCUGGGGGUCCUGCUGAUGUCAACGGCUGCCUCAAACCUGGUGACCGGCUGAUCUCAGUGAAUGAUGUGAGCCUAGAAGGGCUCUCUCAUGCCACCACGAUUGACAUCCUCCAAAAUGCUCCUGAUGAUGUUACUCUGGUGGUGUUACAGCCCAAAGAGAGGCUCUACAAAGAAUCUUCUUCAGGCUAUGCUCCCUACCAAGCCAAGUCUGCAUUGAAGGCACUUAACUCUGGCCAGAGACGAGAACUAGACUUUGAUACCUCAUCAGAGGAGCAGGCGGGAACAGGAAGCCCCAGCCCUCCCCUCCACAGCACUGGCACACCGUCAUCCACCUCCUCCCCAGUCCACCAGCACACCAGUCUCAGUUCUCAGGACUCCAGGGCAAGCAGUGGUGCUAAGAUUAGCCCACCCCCUGCUAAUGGAGUUCAGUAUUGCCUAGAAAGAGCUAAAGCUGCUGCCACAGCGGCUGCCACAUCUACAACCAGUGCCCAACAUCACAGAGCAGAACCUAACGUGGGUUUGGAUCCUACGCCACCGGCUCUGCCACCCAAAACUAGAAAAGCUAAAGUGUCAGAAGCUCCCAAAGUGUCCGAGCACUCUGACUGGGGGGAUUCAGACAUGGAUGAGGAGACGUAUUCCAGUAGUCAAGAGAAACUCAAAGUCAAAAAGGAAUACAUCAUGGAAAAUGUUAAUGGUAAUGCCCCAGGGGUCAAUAGUCUCAGUCCAGGAGAACUAUUUGAUGUUGAGCUGUCUAAAAAAGACAGCAGCCUGGGCAUAAGUGUCACGGUACUGUUCGGCAAGGGAGGAGUCAACACGACUGUUCGACAUGGAGGCAUCUACGUCAAAGCCAUCAUACCAAAAGGAGCUGCUGAGCUCGAUGGAAAGAUACAGAAAGGUGAUCGUGUGGUAGCUGUCAAUGGAAAAACUCUGGAGGGAGCCACUCAUCAGCAAGCAGUAGAAGCUCUCCGAGACACUGGGCAGACAGUGCACUUGUUGUUGGAAAAGGGCCAUCCCCUUGCAGACAGUGUCCAUGCUCCACUCACGCCUCAGUGCACUCGACUAACUGCUGGCAGUGACCAAGACCAGACCAAGUAUAAAAAGCAGCCACUUGAGGUCAAAGAAAAACCAGAGUACAGCUUUGUUACACAAGACAAUAUGUUUGAGGUGUGUCUGCUGAAGAAUACAUCAGGGCUGGGCUUCAGUUUCAGUCGAGAGGAGAACAUCCCUGACGAACCCCCCAGCUCCAGCAUGGUGCGGGUUAAAAAGCUGUUUCCUGGCCAACCAGCUGCAGAGAGCGCUCGCAUCAACGUGGGCGAUGUCAUCCUGCGGGUCAAUCAGACCUCCCUUAAAGGACUCUCGCAACAUGAGGUGAUAUCAGCAUUGCGAGGAACAGGACAGGAGGUGACUUUGCUCCUGUGUAGACCUGAAUAUGGGCUUCUACCUGAAAUGGACACUUCAGCUUUGACGCCCAUGCCAUCACCCCGAAAGGAGCAAGUGUCCCAGGCAGAGUCCAGCCUGAGCUUCGACAGGGCAACCUCUCCUCCGGGUACACAAGGCAAGAGGAGUCACGGCCCCGUGGAGGACGCCCUAGAGAGGCUGCUGCUUAAAACCCCCGGCCGACACAACAGCUACAGCGACAGCACCGAUGGGGAUGGGGAUGAGGAGGUGGAAGAAGCCUUCGGCCCGAGCCCUGUGGAGCAUAGCAGGCAAACUUGGGAGCGGAGUGUCUACCACACCCCCAGCAACAACCUAGGAUUGGGACGCUACGAGAGCACUUGUCAGCUGGACGACACCAUCAACUUAGCCUUCUACUCCCCAAACCUGUCAAUGACACAGUCGGACCUCAGCAAGAGGUCUCUUUCAUCCCCCCUGACAGAUGAUCUGGAGUCCUCCCUCACUGCCCCAAGCCCUGAUCCCCUGCCUCCCCCACUGCCUCUGCCCUUAAACCUCACCGUGUCAGGCAAUGGGCAGGACAUGGAGGAAUUUGUCCCUGAAGUAGAGCUCAAGGUCUCCUUGGUGAAGUCCGAGAAAGGCAGCCUGGGGUUUACCCUCACCAAAGGUAAUGAUCAAGGAUGUUACAUCCAUGACAUCGUCCAGGAUCCAGCCAGAAGAGAUGGAAGGCUCAGGCCCGGCGACCGGAUGAUCAUGGUAAACAACACAGAUGUGAGCAAUAUGGGCCACACCGAGGUGGUCAAUCUUGUGCGUGCAGCCCCCUGUGUAGUUGACUUGGUGGUAGGCAGGGUCUUGGAGGCUCCUAAGCCCCCCAUUGAAGCCCACCUGCUGCCUGACAUUGGCUUUAAGGGCAGUCAAGAACCACUGGGUUUGGUACUGGAUGGUGGCAGUGACAGUGUGUACAAUGUCUUGUUUGUGAAAGACAUCCUGCCAGGUUCAAUGGCCUUUGAGGAGGGCAGCCUGAGACCACUUGAUCUAAUCCACUACAUCAACGGCGCUCCCACGCAGGACCUGACUCUCAGUGAGAGCACCAGACUGUUGGAGCUCUACCUCGACAACCUUACACUCAAGGCCACACGGGAUGGAAAGCCUGUUUCUCCCGGGCAGAAAAGUGUCUCUUUCCUUAACAACAACAUAAGCCCCAAUGUUUCAUCCAGCAUGAACGGUUUUCUUAAAGGAGAAGAUCCAAGAGAUACAGAGUGUCUUGCAGCACUUUGUCCUUUAGAGGAGGAGAUCAUCAAGCUGGAUCUGGAGAAGCUGCAGUCAGGAGGUCUGGGUUUCUCUGUGAUUGGAGGGGAAAGGGGGAUCUUUGUCAAAUCCAUCACACCAGGAGGAAUAGCAGAGUCCUCGGCCAAACUGCAAGUGGGAGACAGGCUGCUGAAAGUGAAUGAAGAACUAAUGACAGGUGUGUCCCACACCAAAGCUGUCACCACCAUCCGUAAAGCUAAAGGCCUGGUACAUCUUAUAGUUUCCAGACCGCCAGACCAGAACCCAAACACAUACCUGGCCUAUCUGCCCAUCAACUCUGACAAGUGCAAUGGAAACACAGAUCUGAGUGAGGACAGUGGAGCGAAGACUAAGCUGUUUACUCUCCAUGAUGAGCUGAAAUCUGGCGGCUUCCCUUCCAUACCACCAAUAGACUAUGAAGAUGAUCCACUAGGACAGAAAAGAGAGACAGAGCACAGCGCAGAGCUUUCAGAGGACACAGACUGCGAUGGCUCUUCUUUACCUGAAGACUCCCCUGAGAGUUCCCGGAAAGUGGAAUGGCAAGAGGAGAAUGCUGACGAUCCAAGGAAUGAAAACUAUCUGCAAAUGAGUGCUGGACAGCCAGAGGAAGAUGAAAUCACAUGGGGAAGUGAUGAACUGCCUAUUGAAAACAUGAACUCUGAGAGCAAUGGGGCAAUCAUCACAGAGGAUGAGUUGACCUCUUUGCCCCUCGUCAAAGUGGUCCCUGAUGGCCAGUACACUGGACCAAAGCUCAACACUGUGGUCCGCAUGAUGAGGGGGCUUCUGGAGCAGAAAGUCCCUCUGCAGGAGUUUGAAAAUCUUCAGAAUCUGCAGCCACUGGACGACUGUUUGAUCGGUCAGACGAAGGAAAACAAGAAGAAGAAUCGCUACAAGAAUAUUGUUCCCUUUGACACAACGCGAGUUUUGCUGGGCAAAGACGGCGGCUACAUCAAUGCCAACUUCAUCAAGAUGUCAGUGAAGGAUGAGAACUAUAUGUACAUUGCAUGUCAGGGUCCCUUACCCACCACUCUGGGUGACUUUUGGCAAAUGGUCUGGGAGCAGAAAUCCAAUGUGAUCGCCAUGAUGACCCAGGAGGUAGAGGGAGGGAAAGUGAAAUGUCAGCGGUACUGGCCCGACACGCCGAGGACUGCUGAGAUGGUGGACGACAGGUUACAGAUCACACUGAUCAAAGACCAAUAUCUCGACAACUUUGCCAUCCGACUCAUUGAGGUUAAAGAUGUCCAGACCAAUGAAAUACAGCGUGUAACUCAUCUGAACUACACGGGAUGGCCGGACCACGGGACACCCUCACAACCCGAGCAGUUGCUCACAUUUAUUUCCUACAUGAGGCACGUUCAUCGAUCGGGGCCCAUAAUCACACACUGCAGUGCAGGCAUCGGUCGAUCAGGAACCCUCAUCUGUAUAGACGUGGUUCUGGGUCUCAUCAGUAAAGAUGCUGAUUUUGAUAUUUCAGAUGUGGUAAGGACCAUGAGACUUCAGAGACAGGGAAUGGUCCAGACAGAGGACCAAUAUAUUUUCUGCUAUCAAGUGAUCCUCUAUGUCCUCAGAUGCCUUCAAGCUGAGGAAAACAUCUCAGGAUAGUAGAAACCAGAUACCACCAUCAUGUAGAGGCUGGGUGACUGUUUCAUGAAAGCAAAACAAAAAUGGAGAGUUGACACAGGCAGAAAUUGCCAAAUUACACUACAUGUUUUUAAAAUGCCUUAAACUAUUCAGUUACUUGAGAGUAAAUCCUUUACAGAAGUCUAUAUUUUUAUGUUUGCUUUUUGAGUUCUCUCUUUCUUUGGCUGCUACUCCUUUUUCAAUGCAUUUAUGAGAACUGCUGAUUGUAUUUCUUAUUGUCACAUACAAGAGAACACUAAUGGGUUUUUUUUUUUCUCCAGAUUCUUGGAUAUUCUAAAAUAAUUAUAAAAGUGAUCAAUGAUUUCAUAUUUUAUGUGGAACAAAAUUUUACUUUGUGUAUUUUAAGUCCUAUUUUGAUGCUGGAACAUGCCUUGACAGAAUACUAUGUCAGUAUUUACUUUGUAAAGCUAUUAUACAGUAAUUGCUCACUGCCUGAGGUAAAUGAUGAGAUUUAAAGUGUACAUAUUCAUCUCCUGAAAAUUAAACUGAUACAUUUUAAAUGUUAUGUGGAGAAAAGUUUAUUUAAAAAAAAAUCAAAUAUUUUCUUUUAUAAUUUUAGUGCAUAUCGUCAUGAAGCAUACUUUUGAAAACACCUUAUUGUUAUCAUUCACUCUAUGUAAAAGGUUGGCAUCUCAUUCUAAUUUAUAGGGAUAUUAACCUAAUACAGCUGUUCCAAGCUUGCUGACUAUUAAAACCACUGAAAGGUACAAGGAAGAGAA
This is an RNA transcript of Sander lucioperca (pikeperch), 8896 nucleotides long. It is a transcript of the gene named protein tyrosine phosphatase non-receptor type 13, with no coding region annotated. The record is from RefSeq and is a predicted model, not a curated record. Lineage: Eukaryota; Metazoa; Chordata; Actinopteri; Perciformes; Percidae. The transcript has 50 exons.